GUUUCCUGAGUGAGAGCAUCCUGUGAGCUGGCUCCUGAGAGGGCAUUUGUGCUGAGGACUUGGGGGCUGCCCACCAGCUGAACAAGAGCUCAGAGAACAAUGAGAGCCUUUCGGUUUCCCAACAACACUCCUACCUGCACGUUGAUGUGAUCCUUGGGUGAAGAUCCCAUUAAUUUUCAGCGUCCAGAAACUGACUUUCGUGCCCAGCACAUAGUAGGUAAGGAAAGCAGCGAGGCUUGUGUUCCCUUCCCUGCAGGGGCUGCAACACUGGGCCCUGGGAUGUCAGGGCCUUCGAAGGUGCUACAAAAAACAGCCGGCCUGAGGAGGGGCCGUGCGUGCCCUUACUCUUCCGGGCUCAUCCGAGUUCUGUAGGCUUCUCCGUCCAGGAUUCUGCUGGUUACCGUCUCCCCAGAGCUGGCUCAGCUUUGAGGCCCAGCCCAGGGCCUGGAACUCUUGCUGAGAGGCCUGUUUCUAAGGAUGGAGUCAUCCCUGCUCGGGGGUCCUGCAGGGUCUGCAGUGCGGCCACCAGGUGCCACUUUGUCUGAGAGCCCUAAGGAAGAUGAGGGAAGCGGAUGCUUGGGAAUGUAGCUGGCAAGACAGUGACCAAGCAAAGGAGAGGACAGGAGAGCAGGCAGAAGGCAAUCCAGCUCACCCACGGGAGGACCGAAAUCUCCGUUUUUAGCCAGCAUGCUCUGCCCUUGGGCUUUCUCUCGAGCAUCUUUGUUUCUUCUCCACAGCAAAGUUCUCACUUUUCUCUCACUUAGUUCAAUAGCUGUCCUCUUGCAGGGGUAGAGGUCUGGCUGGCCGCUAGCUCUGCAGAUGGUUCUUCAGUGUUUCCUCCUGAGAACUCGGUUCCAGCCGUCUUACUGUUUUCUCUUCUUCCCUUCUCACCCUUCUCCUUUUCUAACCUGCAGCCCCUGUACACCCAGCACUUUCUCCCUUUGGGUCUCUGAGGCUUCUCCACUCAUACCUCACCUGUGGCUCUUUCCUGUCCAUCCGGCGACAAGAAAUACGUCAAGCCACCUCAGUUCUCUGUUCUCUGGGCCUCAGUUUCCUUGUCUCUAGAAUGACAGAAGUAGCAGGUAGGUGUGGGUUGCCUGACAAUUGGAGAGCCCCUUCACCCCAAGCCUGGAAGGGGCUACUUAUGAAUGUCCUGGUGCCUAAGCAGGUGUUUCAAGAAAAGACUGCCAAGUAUGUGCACUAGGACCCCAAAACUUUCCACCCCAGGCCAGCCCAGGGUGGAGGGGCAAUCCACUACUGGUACACAUUGCUGCAGGUCAAAAGACAGGGGGUGCAGCUCAGUGGUAGAGCACUUGUCUAGCAUGUGUAAAGCCAUGGGUUCAACCCCAGGACCCCCAAAGUAGAUGGGAUGGGGUGCAGCAGAAUGGG
This 1389-nucleotide long non-coding RNA is filed under the name Heterocephalus glaber (naked mole-rat). Its description in RNAcentral is "lncRNA (ENSHGLG00100039975.1)". The record is from RNAcentral. Lineage: Eukaryota; Metazoa; Chordata; Mammalia; Rodentia; Bathyergidae.